AAGGAAUUGACGGGGGCCCGCACAAGCGGNGGAGCAUGUGGUUUAAUUCGAAGCAACGCGAAGAACCUUACCAGGNUCUUGACAUACUCGUGCUAUUCCUAGAGAUAGGAAGUUCCUUCGGGACACGGGAUACAGGUGGUGCAUGGUUGUCGUCAGCUCGUGUCGUGAGAUGUUGGGUUAAGUCCCGCAACGAGCGCAACCCUUAUUGUUAGUUGCCAUCAUUAAGUUGGGCACUCUAGCGAGACUGCCGGUAAUAAACCGGAGGAAGGUGGGGAUGACGUCAAAUCAUCAUGCCCCUUAUGACCUGGGCUACACACGUGCUACAAUGGUUGGUACAACGAGUCGCAAGACAGUGAUGUCAAGCUAAUCUCUUAAAGCCAAUCUCAGUUCGGAUUGUAGGCUGCAACUCGCCUACAUGAAGUCGGAAUCGCUAGUAAUCGCGGAUCAGCACGCCGCGGUGAAUACGUUCCCGGGCCUUGUACACACCGCCCGUCACACCACGAGAGUUUGUAAUACCCAAAGCCGGUGAGCUAACCUUUUAGGAGGCAGCCGUCUAAGGUAGGAUAGAUGAUUGGGGUGAAGUCGUAACAAGGUAGCCGUAUCGGAAGGUGCGGCUGGAUCACCUCCUU
RNAcentral lists this ribosomal RNA (629 nucleotides) under uncultured Lactococcus sp. RNAcentral describes it as "bacterial SSU rRNA". It matches the Rfam family "Bacterial small subunit ribosomal RNA", at positions 903 to 1532 of the family's 1533-position model. Lineage: Bacteria; Bacillati; Bacillota; Bacilli; Lactobacillales; Streptococcaceae. The record is from RNAcentral.